Molecule: long non-coding RNA, 42610 nt
Filed under: Elaeis guineensis (African oil palm)
Lineage: Eukaryota; Viridiplantae; Streptophyta; Magnoliopsida; Arecales; Arecaceae
Description: long non-coding RNA (EGUI_LNC013733)
Source: RNAcentral
AAAAAAAAAAACUGCAUUCGAAAUCUAUGCAAAUGCGGUAAUGCGGUAGAUGUUGCCUUAGUGACUUGAAGCAUCUCUGAUGGAGAUAAAUCAGAUAUAAUAUUUUGAGCUACCAUGCAUGGGUGAAAUGGACAUGCACGAUAAUGGUGGGGGUGAGCUUUUUCUUACAAAUCUUAUAAUGAGCUGUGCUCUGUAAUGGAAAAAUAAAGAAAACUGUAUCCAACUUUAUCAACUCCUCUGAUGAUUGCUGUUGACAAAAUCACCAGUCUUUGGCACUGAAACCUACAAGCAAAGGUCCAGGGAGGUUGCGGCGGAGGUUAAAUUUAUUUGCGUGGAGUAGCAAUGGAUGUGCCAUUUUAUAGUGGGGACUCUUUGAUGUUAUCACAAUGGUCUUGAUGUAACUGAAAGUGCUAGUGUUGGUAGUUUACAGCAAUGCAAUGAGUCAAUGGGUGAGGGGGAUAUCUAGAUACAUUCAAUUAGAAAAAUAUUAGCCCCCUAACUUAUAACAUUUGGGCUUUUGAUUUAUUCACAGAGAUAGAAUAAAAGGCUUGGGCCAAUGAGCACAAUGGUGUAGGUUUGAGUAUUAGGGCAGCCACUUUGUGUUAAAAAGAUGCCAAAUGUUAGGUCUGUCCGCAGUCUGCCCCUCCCAGAAACCUGGGUUGCUAGCACAAUAACGGGUAAAGGCUUUAGAUAGAAUAGCCUAAUACAGUCCUUUAAUAUAUCUAAUAUCCGUACCUAUGAAUAGUGCAACUCAUAUUUUCAAUAUGAUGUAGAUUUCCCUUGCCAAUUUGAGUAAUUGAAUGAGCCUUGUUUGUCUGCAUUAUUGCAUAUAUAUGCCUGUCAUGCAUGUUCAGAUCAAGUUAUUUGCUAAUAGUCUUAGAACAAAUUGGCACAGUCCUGAUAGUCAUAUUUACAAGCAUUAGAAAUCUGGGGAGCUUUACUGAGUAUCUAAAACUAACUCCUUCCAGUUUUAACUUUUUCUAAUGCAAUCCAUUUGAGAAUUUGGUCUGAUUUUCUGAUUGUUUAUAUGUGCCUGUGCAGCUGAGUUUUUUCCUGAUAGAACAGAAGUGCAAUGUCUUCAUCGGUGGCAAAAGGUUCUCAAUCCUGAACUAAUAAAAGGUCCAUGGACUCCAGAGGUUUGAUGCUGGCCUACUACCGAGUUCAGUAACAGUUUUAACAAAUCAAUACUUCAAGAUGAAUAUUUUUUUUUCUUUCCCAUUGUUCCUCUGCCUUACAGGAAGAUGAACAAAUCAUUACUCUUGUACAGAAGUAUGGGCCAACAAAGUGGUCUGUUAUAGCUAAAUCUCUGCCUGGCCGCAUUGGGAAACAAUGUCGGGAGAGGUAUUUCCGAGUCUAAGUACUAGUUACUUAACAAAUCAUCUUUUGUACUAGUUCUGUAUUGCAUAUUUCUUUGAGAAAUUUCACAAUCCAUUUAUUGUUCACUGCUAGCUAGGUAUAUGAUGCAAGGUGCAGAAUAACCAUAACCAGGAUUUAGAAAAGAUGGUGUAAUGAAUCCCAAUAAAUGUUACAGUUCACCAUACAUUUCAAUCAUUGGGCAAAUAGUUGCAAAUUUCUGGCAGGUGCCAACUCUUUGACCCGUAAUUUAUUUUGCGAAGAAGAUUAUGAAUGGUAGAAUAGAAAGAAAGUGGCACAGCAGUCCUACGCAUCUCCUUAUGAAAAUUAUUAUGAUUCAUGAAGCAGGGCCUAAACGGGGAAAGUAAUUAAAUGAUGAUGUAUUGUUUAUAUCAAACUUUUUAUUUUUUUCCUUAACUCUUUGCAUAAAAUUGCAAGAUAUGUUGAUCCUGUGCUAUUUUUUGGCUGUGAUUUUGGAUGAAGAUCAAUGUUAACUAGGAUCCUUUUAUAUAGUAUUGCUAUCAUUUUUUGUUGGAUUUAUUAUUGUUGUCAAUUACAGAGAAGUGUAAAAAGUUUCUCAAAUAGGUAGCUUAAGGCCUAACAGAAUGGUUUAAGCUCAUAUAUCAAGUAUUUAUGGCUACUUAUUAUGGUGGUGAUUAGGAUAAUUCACAGUGCAGUCUUGAGGCAAAAGAUGCUUCAGGGGCUGUAUCCUUAUGGUUAAGUGCAAGGCCUUAUAGGAACACAACUAUGCUAGGCUUGCUAUAAAACCCUUAUAUUUGAUCUCAUGCAAGAUGACUAAUGCAUAAUUCACGAGUUCACUUAGAUAAACUUUGCAUCUGCUAAAGAGUAGGUUCCACCUUUUUCCCUUAUUUUGGUCAUUAUUAUCUAUUAUAAGAACUGUUAAGAGAGCACACUUUAAUGGCUUAUCACCUCCCAGUAACCAUUUCUAGAUAUUUUGUUUGCUUUACUUUGCAGGUAUCUUCUCUAUAUAUUCAAAACAAGGGAAAUAUUGACUUGUUAAUCGCCCAUUUUGUUUUGGAAAUAAAGUCUUUUAUCAUUAACUCCUUAAAAUUAUUAGUAUAAGAAACUAAGUUUCUUACAGUUGUAAAUUGCUCCACUUGACAUCAUAAGAUUCUAUGUUUUUAUCAUAUUAAGUUUGCUAACUCAUUCGGUCUCUAACAUUUUAUCAGGUGGCAUAAUCAUUUGAACCCUAUGAUAAAAAAGGAUGCUUGGACAGCAGAGGAGGAACUUGCUCUCAUGAAUGCUCACCGCAUACAUGGAAAUAAAUGGGCAGAAAUUGCAAAAGUUUUACCUGGAAGGUAUUGAUUCUCAUGGAAUAUUAUCCUUUUGAGAUUUUUUUCCUAUUUUCCCUCUAAAGUAACAGUGUCUUAGUUUCUACUUUAAUUUGCUUCUUUAACUAUUAGCAAUGACUGAACAUCUUUUGAAAACAUGCACCCUUUUAUUGUAGAAAUUAUAUAUUGGAUCAUAUGAUUAAGAAAAUUGAGAUGCAUAGAUGCACAUGCAUGCAUGAGCAUAUAUGUCUGUAAGUUCAUCUAAAACUGAGGAGAGUACAAGUUGGUAAACAAACAGAUCUUACUACUACUUUAUUAAGAUGACAGUUUUUCUGGAACAUCUUCAAAAGGUGGUGUUUCAUUUGUAAUAUCCCCAGCGUACUACUUGUGGCACCUCUCUUGUUUGAGUUUUCUCUCUUCUGCUCCUUGAAGGAUUCAAAACCAACAUUGACUACUCCUACUUCAUGAUUGGAGUGGCAUUGUUAGCAAAGUCAAAUGAAGUAAAAGGCUCAUCACUUUAGAUUGACCUCAAUCACUUUUUUAAUUGACAUUUUCUCUAGUGAUGUCUUCUAAAAUUUCAGUUCAUAAAAAGGCUUGGAUUUUAUGUGAACGAGAGGAUAAUAGAACAUAUUCCUUCCAACAGCAAGGUUUACCUUUAGAAUAAAGAAAGCUAUAGAAAGAUUCAACGAAGAAGAUGCCAUUGGACUUCCAUCCUGUGCAUGUGUAAUUUUCAGUCUUUAUCCUCUACUACUUUGGAGAUCAUGAAUAACAAAGGGUAAGCUUUACUAGUUUCCUUAAUUGUAGGUUCUCAAACACAUGGUUACAUACUCCUUGUGUUCCUGUUUACAUAUCAAACUCCUCGUAGAAGCAUCAAGGACUUGCACCAGCUGAAGUCCUAAAGGACAAGGAAUUACCAACACUCUCCAUAUGAUCACCCAUUAUGUUAAUUCUGAUGUUGUCACCUUCCCACCAAGAAACAUAACCCCCACAUUAUAGCAAGCCACUCCCUUUCCCGAUGAAUGUCUUUCUGCAUACUUGACAUGAUUUUAAUCACUUUGUCAUUCCAUUCAUGAAUUCCUAUAUCAUGUCUGUUCUAAUGAACUUUAUGAAAUUCUUAUAAUCAUGAACCUCAAAAAAUACUUACAAAGGGGACCGCAUAUCCAUUUCUUAGAUUACGUAGAGCCCUCCUUGUUUCUUAUUAAAGGCCAGUGGAGAAGUUAUUUUCAGCAAUUUCACAUCCUCUGUCUCUACAGAUUAUUAGGUUGCAAUCUUCUUGUUUAAUCACUUGUGAAAAGUAGAGCUCUAAAGGUUAGACAUAUCACAUACAGGAGGCCAUAACUGCUUCAGUAGGAUGAUUCUUCCCCUGUCCCAUUAACUUCUUAACAACCCUUUCUGUGACAUGAUUUAGUUCAUGCUUCAAAGUCUAUCCAACAUCAAAGGCUUCCAUGAUGCUCCAAAUGAAAGCUACUUUUGAAUUUCCAUGAUGAUAAACCUAGCCUCUCAUCCCUCUUCAUAGAAAUAACCACAAGACCCUCAAAUUGAUUUUAUGCUGAAUUCUCUCAGAGCAGAAUCUGUUUCUAAAGUUUUCUAACUUUUUUAUGAUUUUCUUCACAAAAAGAGGAACUAAUCAACAGGUCAAAGUAUAGAGAUCCAUUUCUUCUUAAGAAAAACAUUCUCACUUGGUUUGACUAUUUGAGGUUUAAAUAGUUCUAUCUUUUUUUUUUUUCACUGGAGUAUCAACUUUUUGCUUGUUCCUGUGGUUGGUGCUUCUUCUCCACCAGUUUGAUGCAGGAUUCCAUUGCUACUAUAGUUUGCUUUUGUAAUCAUUCUUUUGAAUUUUAUUAUUUCUGAGGGUGUUCUAUCCAUGUCAUACCGGCUUCUAAUUGCUUGCUUCCUUCUGCUUAUUAAAUUUGAAAUUUGUAUAAUUCUAUAGAAUGUGGUCACCAUUUUAUGGAUAGUUAACUGCUCAUCCUAGUUGAUGGUCUGAGGCUAUCUGAUCUAUGUUUAUUUUCUUCCUUCUUCCUUUUUGUAUCUAGGACUGAUAACUCGAUAAAGAAUCACUGGAAUAGUUCAUUAAAGAAAAAGUUAGACUUCUACUUGGCAACUGGAAAACUUCCGCCGGUUCCAAAUCCUGCUGUGCACGGUGGUUCAAAAGAUAUAGUAAACCAGGCUAGUGGACAAUUAUUUCUUUCUUCAAAUAAAAGGUCAGAUACAAGUACUGAAGCUUUAUCAGAAACUGCUGGUUCAACCCAUUCUUGCCUGCCUUCCGAAUCAAGUAAAUUGGAAGAGCAUAGGGAGUCGUUGGAGUCCAUAACCAUACAAAUUUCUCGUUCAGAAGCUUUUACAGGUGUACAAAUAAUAGGACUUAAUACUUCUGCUGCUGAAUGCCAGGCACCAACCCUGCAAGUGGAUAAUUUGUGCAAUGGAUCUGAUCCAGGAGUAAGGUUGGGGAGUUAUAGUAACACUGGUGAAAUUGAUAAAGAUGACAAGAUACCUGGGAUAGCUCUGCACUCUGAACUUUCUUCUACAUUCGGUUCUCUCUGUUAUAAGCCACCUCAGUUAGAAGAUCUUGGUCUUUCUGUAGCUUCUGCUCUUUUAAGCACAUAUGAUCCCGCUCAGCAGUCAUACAGCUCAGGGACAGUUACAUCCCCCAUUGGCUACUCCACUCCACCCUUUGUGAGUGGAAAGAAUUCAGGUCAGCAUAGUGCUGAAUCUAUAUUAAAGAGUGCAGCUAGGAGCUUUCCUAAUACUCCCUCUAUUUUACGAAGAAGAAAAAGAGAGGGAGGCACACCUCUUCCACCUGAUAUAACUGUACAAACAGAUCGGAUAAAAAUCCAGGACAGUUCUUGUACUCCUAUAGAAGGAAAAUCUAGAAGUGACCCAGAGCCCUUGAAGUCUUCCAAAAGUCCAUGUGGUGAUGGUGGAGUUGUGCCACAUAAUAUUAAGACUUUCAAUGUUUCUCCUCCAUAUCGGUUGAGGUCCAAAAGAACUGCAAUUAUCAAAUCUGUGGAGAAGCAGCUUGAUUUUACAUCGAGGGAAGACAAUAUUGAUGGUAAAGCGAAGUCUCUGGGUUUGGCUAUCAAUGGCAGUUCUCAUAGCGCUGAUUGCAAUGGCAACCUUCCAAUCAUGCAGGGGAGGAAGCUGAGUGAAUGUCCAGUUGGAUUGGAAAGUUUGGCCAAUGACUUGGCCCAUACAACUAAGUUGGGUGUGACCUAAGCACCAACUGUAAGUAUGAGCUUUUAUUCAAUUAAUAAAUGCAUGUCAGUUGGUAUAUUCUGUUGUCUAUGGAUAUCCUACAGUGUAGGAUACAGUUACUUUCCCAUGUAGUAUUUUUUGUUUUUCUUUUUUUCGAUCAAUCUCAUUGGUGAGCAAAUUAACCCUUUUUGUCUAAUUCUUAAUUAGCCUUUUCAUUUGCUUAAAUACUUUUGACAGCUUUGAAGACUUGGGACUUGUCAUGUAAUCAUUUCAUUAUUCCAUGUGUAUAGAUUAUGUUCUAAUUGCACUAAUUAUUUUAAUUUUCUUUUGGAUCCAUAUUCAAUGAGGCUAAAUAUUAAUACCUUAUUAAAUCAUUUCACCGAAGUUAUUGUUGAUGUACAAUCAUUGAAUAUUGUUGUGUAUAUUUAUAUAUACUCAUCACAGAUGCAUGCAUCUAUGCAAAAUGUGUUUGAGUACAGUUUUUAGGGGAAAAUCUUGUACAUCCAUUGCACAAGAAAGGUAAGAGCAAUGCUAUGGCAGCCCGAGCAUGGUAGCAAAAAAAAGUCACCUCAUAAUUGAAGGCCACCUGACACAUCCUGAAGCAUUUUCUUGGUACCCGGUUGGGGCCUGGAAGCAUUUUCCAAAAACUAAAUUUGUCCUCGUUUGACAAAAGCAUUUCAUAUUCUACUAAUUUUCUGAGCCCAAUAGUUGGGAUGAGGCUUUUAGUUGUCAUAAUAAUUAUAUACUAGGCCAAUUUUAACUCGAGAUAUCUAAAAAUCUUGAUAAAUUCAUAAUGGCCUAUUUUGAUAAAAAUCUUAUAGGAUUUGUGGGUUGGAUCAGUACAACCAGCAAAAUUAUAAGAUUAUAAGCUGGACUAGAUUUAUAUUCCUAAAUAUCCAACAGUAGCUUUGGAGUGGACCAGCUCGAUUCACAUAGGGAGAAAGCCACUGGAUUUUUUCAUUGAUAUGGCUUUUUAAAUAACAGUUUAGCAAAUGACUGGCAUAUAUAUUACUGGCUUUGAUUUUUUGCUUGGGUUUGGGAGCAUCCAUCCACAGUGAUUGGUAGGAUCUCACAGUCCAUUUAAAUGGUGAUUUGCAUGUCUCAAAAUUUUUCCUAUCUCAGGCUCAAUGUUCUUUUAGUUGACUCCUCAUCACUUUCUCCCUCUCCAUCUCAACUGAAAUGAAAGAUACUAGCUCUCCAGUAACUUUGGAGUUGAAUUCUGGAGUCCUAUAUGCUUUCGUUUGUAACUAUGUUGUGGUUAUGAAUUGACCGCUGAUUAUGUUCUUUUGUAUGUUGUAGGUUUGAAGUUUUACAUUGAUCCAGAAGGGUUGAAGCCUCGAGAUGUCUUCAUCACCAGAUGAUAGCUCCAAACAAGAAAAUUUGGGUAAAAAUUUCAUUGCGGAUUGAUAUUCUGGACAAAACCAGUCUCUGCAUCAUACAGAGUGGUGAGAAAAUCUAAGAAGCUUGCAUGUUCCACUGUUAACAGUUUGGAUAACAUCUCAUGUUGCAUGUAAUUUUUUCAGUACAGAACCAGGAUCUACAUAAAGUCAAGAUGUUCAGACGUUAGAAAAGGAAUAACUUGUACAUAGACCUUCACAAAAAGAUAAGUGGCUUUAGAACCUUUUAGUUGAAUAAGAGGUUCGGGUAGAAUUAUAUGCAUCACCCUUUCUUUCUAAUAUCUCUGUUUGCUUUGCCAAAGUCAGCUCCUAGACAUCACUAUUUCUUUUUUUUUUUUUGUUAUGAUCAAACAAAAACCUACUUGUAGGAGCCCCUACCUCAUUCAUCAAGCUUUAAUAGUAUUGAGCUCAGCAUAUUCUAAGAAUUGCAUCAUUUUAAUGGCCCUCGAAGUCUAGAUUCCUCCUGCUUUGAGAUAUUCUAAAAUGCAUAAAAUAUUGAAAUAAAAGACAAGCAAAUCAAAGAUGCAUAAGAACAAGAGCAUGUCAGCAAUAACCAGUUUUUGCAGUUGAACAAACAGGAAAAAUGAUGUAGAAGGGAAAAAUAGAAGUGAGAUCUUGAGACCAGGACUUUAUGGAAAUAAGAAACAUGCUUUAUGCUUCAGCAUGCAGCAAAACUUCAAAGUUUGGACUGCGUUGGUUAAAAGUAAGAAGAGGCAUCCUUUGGCAAUUCCAUUUUCCACUCAAAAAUCUCUUGCUCCGUUUCCGUAGUCGUAGUUGAUAAGGGUUGGAAAAGAGAGCCACAAACCGGGAUGUAAACAUCCGCCAUACUUCUAAUUAGCUAAGCCAUUUCUAGUGAUCCAAACACUCUAGAUGUGAUGCUUAAUUCAGGUACUGAGGAAGGAAUUCCCUCAACAGUCAAGAUGACAAAUUUUAUGAGACCGAACCGCUCUCUGACUUCUCACGAGGGUUUAUUCCAAUAUGAAAUACAUGGCUGAAGAAAUCUGCCAUGUGUUAGCAAAGUAUAUAUCUCAUUAUAUUUAAACCUUUUGUUUUAUAUUGUAUUGUCAUACUUAAGGCAAAAGAUCUCUCACCAAGCCUUGACCACUAUACUUCAAAAUUCUGAAAUUGAAAAAAAAAAUCCAAAUUUAAUUAUCAAUUGCCUCUAUCUCACUCCAUUAAUUUAUUUCUAUUGGAAAUCUUGUAAUAGCCGUCACCUUCGAUUAGUUAUCUUAAAUCCAAUGAUGGAGGUAUUUCAUAACACCAUAGAGCAUAUGUCUCUCUAUACCUAAAAGUUUUUGUCCUAUACAGUAGGAUGAGAUAUACUCCAAAAUUUCCAAACACAAAAGAAGAUACAAAAAGAUAUGGUUAGCGACCAUUAUCAUCUUACUGCAUUAAUUCCUUACCAAUGAAAAUCUCAUGAUAGCUGUUGCCUAGAUAGGCCAUCUUGAAUCUAAUGUUAUAGCAUUCUUCCAAAACUUGUAAAAUAUAUAUCUCACUAAAUUUAAAUAUUUUGUUCUACAUGAUGGGUAGAGCCACACUCCACCCAAAUAUAAAAAGGAGAUAAAACCCAAAUAGGCUCAAUAAUCGCUGCCAUUCUUACUACAUUAAUUUGACCAACAAAAAAUCUUAUGACGGCCAUGGCUUUCUAAUUGACAAUCUUGAACCCAAUAUGCCCCACAUGGGGCUAGCAUGUGUACAUAAAAGAAGUCAAAUUGAAGAAAACAUGGACAGCCCUAUCACUAAAUGCUAGUCAAACCAAGAAUCAAAAAUUAAUUUUAAAAUAAACACUUUACGGAGCCAACGGACCAAAAUUUAUCUAAAACAGAUUUUCAUGUCCAUGCGGACUGCCAUUAGUGUUGCAUUAAAUUAUAGUUUGAGAUGUGGUCCAAAAGAUAGUAAAGAUACACUCCAAAAAGCAUAUAUAUCACUGCAUUUAUAUCUUUUUAUCCUGUGUGGCAGAUAAAGAUAAAAGAUAUAGCCCAAAAUUUCCGAACAGAAAAAAAAUUAAUAUAGUCUAAAUUUGCUCAGCAACACUGUCCCUUUUUUUUUUUUUAGUAAGCUGGAUUUAUUAAACCCAUUUAGUAUAAAUACAUUCAUAAGAAUAAAAAAAUAAUAUAUUCAAAAAUUCAUAAAAAAUAUCUAGCAUAACGUUCUCGUUUUUUGACUGCUUUAAUUUCUUACCAACUGAAGCCUCGUGACGGUCACAACUGUUAAUUGGCCAUCUCAAGUCCAUCGGCUCAGAAUUUUGCUGGCGCUGGUAAAGCGUAUACCCACUGUAUUUAAACCUUUUCGUUUCCACGUGGCCGUCAAAAUUCCAAAACGGAAAAAAGAGAUACAGUCCAGAUUUGCUCACAGCCGUUACCAUCUCACUCCGUCAACUUUUCGCCGACGGAAACCCCGAUAUGCUCACAACCCCCGGUUUUCCGUCUCAAGUCCAACGGCCCACAAUUUUCCACAGCCUGAGAGUCUAAAAAAGUGACAAUACUCACUCAAAGUAACGCUAUCAAUCAUCCACCGCUCAUCUCAAAAAUAUUGAGCAUCUAGACAUGCCACGUUACAGAGAGUGCAAUUCCAGGUCCAUUCAUUGUUUGCCAUAAAAUUUUGAUAUAAAGAUGCGAGUUCAGAGGAAACACCGUUCGGACCCCUGAGAGCCCCACCAACUUACCAGCCCGAAGCGCCGCCGUGGCUGUCGGUGUCGCUUCCCCCCCCAUCACCAACCGUUGAUCACCAUCACGCAACCACCGGCACCAUGUCCAGCGCCUCACAGCCCAAGUCCCUAAGUCCGGAGGAGGAGACCUUGGACUCCUCCCCGGCACCCGAACUCCAACACCUCUCCCGCCACCUCGACGGAGUCCCCUCCAACUCCAAGCCCGAGCUCGAAGGCGAGGCCCCGCCGCAAGGCCACGAGCUGGUGCUCGUGACACCAGACUUCCCCAUGGAUGCACCGGCGUUGCAGCCGCCGCCGCUGAAGGAGGAACCGCGACGGCGAGGAUCCCGGCGGCGGGCUGAGUGGACUCCACCAGAGGGCUUGCAGAUGAUCGUACAAGAGAGGAAAUCUGGCAGGAGCAAGGGAAACAAAGAUACAGUUCGUCUCUUCCCCUGACCAACUUCUCCUUCGUCUCGUUCUUCUCCAUUCUAUCUGUUUUCGUGUACGUUCUCGGAUUUUAGAUAAAACUAGCGUCAUGUUUGUUACCUGUGAGCAUGCAUGCUAUAUAGAACGACGUGGCAGGUGAGAACGAGCUGCUUCUAACCUGCUACGUACGUUGUUUUGUAGAAGGCGAGCUUGCAAAGUGACGAACAUAAGAUCGGCACUGAGAAGCAUUUGUGUGAUAGGUUUCUUGGAUUCAUUAUCUGAAAUUGAGCCUUUUCAUUAGAAGUGAUUUGACUGAUCAGCUGUGUUUAAGCUUAAUAAUUAUUAUUAUUAUUAUUUUGUUCUUAAUCUUAUGGUGUUUGGUGUGAAUGAAACGAAUCUAUGUGAUCAUUAUCUUAGAUUUAUUGCUAAGCGCGAAAGAUUUGUAUUGUUCUUAGAGUGAUUGAUUAGCUGAUCUCUUUUUCAGCUUCAUUAUAAUAGGAUUUCCUCCUAUUCCUCUUUUUUUUUUGGAAUCCAUUUGAAGAAGAUAGAAACUGGAAAUAAGAAAUCCACGGAUAUCCACAAAAGUUAGCGUGAAAACGUUCAAUAAUAGAACGGAUCGAGGAGUUAAAAUAUGAAGAGAAGGAUCGGUAGGUUUAAGAUGCGGUUAAUUCAACAUGACAACAAGUAGGGGUCACAGAAAACGCAAAACGUACAGAAACAAAAACAGAAGGGAAUAGCAAGGUUCCAAGAAUGAUGCAUUGUUUUGAUGGAAAAAGCCGCCAAAUAGAGAAUCAUGUUACAAAAUUUGAUUACUUUAUGUUGAAAUUCCUUUUUACUAGUCUGUUGUCUAGUGAAUAUGUAACCUUUUGUAAGCUAAAAUACCUGGUCAUAUGUUAUCGCUUGUUACUCCAUGAUGCACCAAGUCUAAAAUAUGUUGUUUCCACUCUUAGGAUCAAGUAGUAGGCUUUGUAAUAUAUGAAGGCUGUUAUUGAUGGUUCUCUUGCAUCUCAGUUACAUCAUACACAUACAAAAUGACAUGCAAAACAAUGACAAUUGUAGAUCCAUCAUUGUUGCAAUCGUAUUGUUGAGCAAAAUUGUCGCAAUGGUGUUCUCUGCAGUAUCAUGUGCAAUACUAAUUUUGCCAAACAAAGAUCUUCAUGUAUCAUGCGAAUGUCUUGCUUUAAUUGAGCAUAGGCAUGAAACUAUAUAUGGAGCUUGAUUAUAUAGAUCAAGGUUUUAUGUUCCAGCAGAAUUGGAGGCGUUUCAGCCCUCCCAUUUUAUUUCUGUGAGAAAAUAGGACUGGGACAGACUCAGGACUCCAAAACCCAUUCUUGCAGGGAGAGAAAAAGGAAGAGGAAAGAAGAAAAUGAAGGAAAGAUAAGGAAUAGGCCAGAAAAAAUAAAAGAAAAGAAGAAGAAAAAUGAAAAAAUAAAAGAAAGAAAAAAAAAGGAAAAGAAAAGGAAGGGAAAGAAAGGAAAGUAAAGAGAAAGAAAAAAAAGUAGAAAUAAAGAAAGAAAAUUAAUAAGAAUGAAAGAAAAAUAAGAAAAAAAUAAAAGAAAAGAAGGAACAAAAAAAAUAGAAAAAUAGAGGAUAUCUACUGAGAUGCAUGAUCAAAACUAUUGUCAGGACGAAAUAGGAUAAUAGGGCAUCAUGUUCUAUACAGAAAUCGGGACACCUUUGUCCCACUAGAUUAAAACCUUGAUAUAGAUUGUCUUUCUUUUUCAAUAAAUACCACAACUACCAUGAAAUAUGUAUUUCUUACUCCACUCAAUGUUUCAUAGAAAAUGAAUUUGGAAAAUGAAUUCUACUAUAUUUUUCUAAAAUUAGAAGAAUGUUGGAAAUAGGGGUGGCAAUCAAUCUGGGUCGGACCAAAUAUAGGUCGGGUCGGGUAUAGGAUAGAUUAAAAAUUUAUCAACCUGAAUCUCAUCUGUUUGUGAACUAGUCAAAAAUCAAAAUCCAAACCUGACCAUUUUAUUAAAUAAAUAACCCAACCUAUAAUAGGUUAAAUUAAGUUAAACUGGUUAAAUAUUGCCACCCAUUGGAAACAUGGCAAACACUACAAGGGAAGCCUAUAUCUCCAGUCUAGCUAGAGAAGUUGCUAAGUUACUCAUGUUUGACGUAUCAAACCUAAUUCUAUUAAUAAUGGAACAAGGAUGAAGGAUAAAGAGAGAGGUGCAAUUAUCAAAUGUGCAUCCACUAUAACAGAACAGGGUAUUUGUUAGAAUUAGGAGUUUGGUGUAUGCAUAUGUAUUUCAAAAUUUUAUUUUUCAAACACUGCAGUGAAGAACAAGAUUAAAACACUUUUAAUCUGAAUUAUGUAUGCAUGAAAAUAUAAAAUCACAUCAAGCUAUUUUAUAUGCUGAAAUUGAUAUAUGCUGAAAUUCAGAUUGUGAUCAAAUCACAUACCUGUUUCACAAUCCUUCUCUUCAAAUCUGGAUCUGAAAGAGAAGAGAUUCUCUCUUAGCCGCACUAGUGUUCGGUCUUUACGAGUAUCUACUUGAGAUCAGCUUGGAACAGUCCUUUUUAAUCUGAAUUUUUUCUUCAAAAAUUCAGCUUACUGAAUCUGAACGAAGCUUAGAUCGUGAUCAACACUUGAUCUCUUUCUUUAAUCUUUUUCUUCUCCUCUUCUCUAGAGUUUUUUCUUACUAUGUACUGCUACUAGAUACUAGAAACUAGUAAGGAAGAGGCACCCAACAGUCUUAGACGUGGAAUAUCUUGUGAUGCGCGUUCCAAGAGAAGGGACGUAUAGAACGCCCAAGAGAGAAGAGAAAAGAGGAGGAAGAGAAAAUAGGACUGGAACGGUCUCAAGACUCCAAAACCCAUCCUUGCAGGGAGAGAAAAAGGAAGAAGAAAGAAGAAAAUGAAGGAAAAAUGAAGAAUAGGGAAAAAUAAAAGAAAAGAAGAAGAAAAAUAAAAAAAGAAAAAAAGAGAAAGGAAAGAAAAGAAAGGACAGUAAAGAGAAAGAAAGGAAAGUGAAAAUAAAGAAAGAAAAUUAAUAAGAAUGAAAGAAAAGCAAGAAAGAAAUAAAAGAAAAGAAAGAAAAAAAAAGAUUGAAAGAUGAAGGAUAUCCACUGAGAUGCAUGAUCGAAACUAUUAUCGAGAUGAAACGGGAUAAUAGGGCAUCAUGCUCUAUACAGAAACAGAGACACCUUUGUCCCACGAGAUUAAAAUCUUGAUAUACAUAGUCUUUCUUUUUCAGUAAAUACCACAACUACCAUGAAAUAUGUAUUUCCUACUCCACUCAAUGUGUCAUAGAAAAUGAAUUUGGGAAAUGAAUUCUACUAUAUUUUUCUAAAAUUAGAAAAAUAUUGGAAAUAGGGGUGGCAAUCAAUCUGGGUCAGACCAAAUAUAGAUCGGAUCAGGUAUAGGAUAGAUUAAAAAUUUAUCAACUUGAAUCUCAUCUAUUUGUGAACUGGUCAGAAAUCAAAAUCCAAACCUGACCAUUUUAUUAAAUAAAUAAUCCAACCCAUAAUAGGUUAAAUUAAGUUAAAUUGGUUAAAUAUUGUCAUCCAUUAGAAACAUGGCAAACACUACAAAGGAAGUCUAUAUCUCCGGUCUAGCUAGAGAAGUUGCUAAGUUGCUCAUGUUGACGUACUAAGCCCAAUUCCAUUAAUAAUGGAAUAAGAAUGAAAGAUAAAGAGAAGGGUGCAAUUAUUAAAGGUGCAUUAAUUAAAAAAAAUAAUGAGAAUCAAUUAGGAAGUAGGUGUUUGGAAUAUGUUUCAAGGGAGAAUCUUGUCCCUAAGGAGAUUCAAAAGAGGGCAUACUACUCUUCAAUAGAAGAGUCUUGCUAUUAAGAGAAGAAGAUAUGGAGAAACAGAGUGUGUGAUAGAGAGAGGUACAACCACCAAUCAUUGUCAUUCCUGCUCUCUAUGUCUUUAUUGGUCAUUGCUCCAAAUCAUAACCUUGCAAAGAGAAGUUUCAACAGGGAUUUCCAAGUAUGAAAAAUCUUAUGGUUAAUUCGAAUCUAUAAAAUAUUCAUAGUUGAUCUAUUUGUAUUUGAUUUCUUGCACUUUGAUUAGAGGGUGAGCUUUGAUGCAAUGAUAAGAUUCCAUUGUGACCUUUUGAGUUUAAAAAUGAAAAUAGCCUUUACACAACGACAAGGUUACAUAUAUCUGACACUUUCCAAAUGCCAUAAUGGCCGGAGUCUCAUGCAACGGCCAUCCUUUUUUCUCACACUUUGGUUCUAUAAAAGAUAUAUAAAAGGUAUGUUCCAACAAAAAGAGAAUUAUUAUAUGAUGAAGACCAACAUAUUUGGCAUUAAUGGGAGCCCCCUUUACUUCAAUGGAAAGGGGGGAAUCGUCAUUUCACAGCCACUCCUCUAUAAAAUUUUUAUCUAUCUUUUCAACUAAUAUGAUGAUGAAAAAUGAUAGAAAAUUACAUAGAUAGGAGGAAGAAACGAACCAAAUCAGAACUCCGAAGCAAAGAGGAAUGAAAUGGAGAAAUGAUUGGAACAAUUAAAAAAAGAAAGAGAACAGUGGCCCUUUUCAUCCUGGGGACAUUGUAGGAGAAUAAUAUCUAGAACGUGCUUCAAAAGUUAUUCAUUAUUUAUAUAUACAGAUAGAUUCUGAUAGUGAUCUAAAUCUUUUUGUAAAUAUAUGGAUUUAUUAAGAAAUUUCUAUUGAUCUGAUUUCGAUGGGUACUCAAAGUAUAAUUUUUCUAAAUACUUGCCAUUCAAAAUAUAUGAGUGAAAAGACUAUCAAAAAAAGAAAUUAGCCUACUCCAAAUGGCGGCCCACUUUGCAAUGAAGGAUAAAAAUUAGUAGCCACCUUCUCCAUGCUCCACCAAAUCAUCAUGAUCCUUUCGAAAAGAUAUUGGACAUAUGCUUUUAACCAAUCUAAAGCUUUUUAGACAACUUAAAGAUCGAAAAAUAUCAAAUCUACUAUGAGAUCAAGAUGGAAUUUACUCCACAUACUAAUAUAUUGGCAAGAAAAAAAUUGAGUCUUCAUUUGAAAAUCAUCUAAAUCAUCGACACUUGUCAUCAUAAUCUUCUCUACCUAAGAACUAAGAUUAAAGUAACAACCAAGAACACACCCACUUGUCCUUCACAUCCUCAAUAUAAUCUUCGCUCUCAGAGACCAAAUUCUUUCCACCACAUAUGAAGAUUGUGACUCAUUUUUACAUCUUAACAGUAACUCCAAGAGGCUUAAAUCUUCCUUCCCUCAAAAAUACAAGGGGAACUAAUUUAUGAUCUCUCCACAAAUGGUCUAAAUAGUAAACUAAAGUUGCAUUGCAUUAAUUAAUUGCCUCAUCUAAAGAAACUAAUCUGAAACCAUGCUUUUUAUUAGUUUCUCAAUGAUAUUGUUAUGGGGUUGCCACUUUUUCUGUCAAUUUGUUACUUUUUCAUCAUUCCAUUUUUCUUUACUAUGUUUAGGUGGUGAGGGUUCCAAGACAUCAUUUUUUCCUACUUACAUAUUGCUUCUCACAUUUGUGUAUUAUAGUAGUAGUGAUAUUGAAAAGAAAAAAAAUCAUGGUUGAAAGACUUAGUUCCAAAUAUAGUUGAUGGGAUUGUAUUUCUCUAGAAUCAAUAACAUGCAUUGCACUUGCUGAGUAAUUAUCUUUUAUGGAUUUUCUUCUAGCAACACAAACCAUCUAAAUGUUGUGCUCAAGUAUGAUCUAGGAGGAUAAUUUGAACCAUUGAAAAAUACUUUGGCCACUUGGGAAGGCCAGUAUAUAAAGUUUUGAAGAAAGACCACUACAUCUAAGACUCAAUCAUUAUUUCCAAUUUUCAAGGGUCAUGAUUUUCUCAUUUGGCAUCCUUUUUUGUAUGCCAUGCACCAAAAUAAAGCUCUCAAAGAAUGUUGCUACAAUGCAUCUUUGGUUAGGGGCCUCGAUGAUGGUUCAGCCUCUAAAUAGGCCGGUUCAAAUAAAUAUUUUCUUUUCAUAAAAGAUUUUAACCAGCCAUAAUUCACAAUCCAGGUAAAAUUAGACGAAGUGAUUACGAACAAAAUUGGUAUAGGAAGAAAAAUCUAGCUCUAGUACGAUUUCAGCUUUUUCUUGAUUAUUUCAAUCAGUUAUGGCUAUGUUAGAAAAGCUAUAAUAACCUCUUCUAACUAGAGGAAGAAUUUGAUCUAAAUUUGAUAAGGAUAAACCUCAUUUGUAUAAAUAAAGGCAUUAUAACUGAUUCUAUUAUAAAUUGAUGAAAGAAAAAAGAAAUUUAGUUGGAACUCUACUUUCAAAAUUAUUUUAGUUUCAUUAUUCUUUUAAGAGGUCUGACUUGGAUAAUUUGAAAGAAACUCUUUCUGUUUCUCGAUCCAAUCAAAGUUGCUUGUAGGGGUAUUUAGAUGUUGUACGCAUGAAAUAUCUAAUUACGCACCUUAACAUAAAAGAUUCUUUUAAAAGUUCAUAUAAUAAAGAUGGGUCAUUUCAAUAGUACCAUAUAAGUUGAGCAUAACUACAAAAAUAUUGGUAUAUUUUGCUAUUAUUUUUAUCCUUAAAUCACAUGAAAACUCCCCUGCACUUGUAUGGAAUUUGAGGAAAUAUUGAAGCAAAUUCCAUGUUACAUAAUACGGUGCCCUGCCAUGGCAAUACAACAUCAAGAUUCUAGAUAGUAAUAGCAUGAAAUGUACUUCAUAGGUCUUUGUUAGAUGGAUCAACUAGUGAGAUUUCAUUUUCAUAAUCCUAUAUACAUCUCAAAAGAUCUUGCCUAUUUGGAUAAGAUAAAAUAUGAUAAGCAAAUUAGAAAAUGUACUAGCCAUUCUCCUACUAUAUUUGUUACUCUUAAGGGGCCUAUAUUAAAGAUAAAAGUGUUUAUUCUAUGGGCCUACUACAUACACCAUGAGAAUGUAUGAAGCACUUGAAGCACAAAGAGCACCACAAUAAUCUAUCUGAAGUUUGAAAAAAAAAUCAAAAAUUAGAUUUUGGGUUUAUACCUUUAUGGAUGAGCUUGAGGAUCUACUUAGAGAGUAUCUUCGUGAUGAGAGGCUUCACAAUUGGAGUGAUCUACUAAUAGAUGAUGCUCAAGAGAAGAGGAGGCGGCAGUGAUGGAGCUAAUUAGGGCUGAGACUAGUAACAUUCGGUAGAGGAGGAGGAAGAGAAAAAGGAGGAGGACAAGCUGGUAGAUAAGGAGAAGAGGGAGGUUGAGUAUGCUGACAAGGAGCUUGGAGUAGAUGACGCUUAGGAGAGGAGAGGAGGAAGAGGAGUAGGCCAAUGGGGAUCUCAAAGUGGAUGAUGUUUGGGAGGGGAGGGGGAGGAGAAAAAGGUAUAAAGCUUUGUGGGGCAAUAAAACUUACACGAAGACGAAGCCACCGAAACGAUCCAAGACCUCUCCCAUCAACCUGCAUGUCGAAUCAGCAACCACCUACAACUAUAAGAGAAUCAAGCUGGAUGUGCUUCUCGCUGUCGUUGAGCAACAUCUUGAUUUUUUAAUCUCAACUCCAAAAAUUUUUAAUAGGGAGGAUUUCACAAGCUCUUGGAUAAGUUGGUGACCAAGUCUAUAUAGGGUAUCCUUUUAUAACAUACCUUAUCCAUCAGAGAUAGUAUCUGAAUCAAUCAUAAAGAUUAAAAAAUGGAUGUUAUUUAUGAUAGUUAUAAAGAAAUUAAUUUUAUUACAAUAACCAUCAAGGAUAUGCUUGUCACUUUAUUGAAGACAUCUUUAGUCAGAGUCCAGACUAAUUAAGCCAACUAAAAUAAAUUUCGAUGUAUGUUUAGUAUGGGCCACAUUCGGAUAGGACUUAAUCAGAUAAAUUCUAACAGAAGGCCCCAUGAGGAGAGGACACUCAAGAGAGGAGGAGGUUAGAUGAAGAGCAAGAGGAGGAGGAGUUGGGAUCCAUAGAGGAUUAGGGUUGCAAUGGAUAAUCUGAGGGUUGCUGUGGAUGGCAGUUCUGUGAUGUUCGACAAUGCUUAUAAGUAUCAUUUUAUGGGAUAUUUUCAACAGUGUACCUUAGCAUCGUCUAAUGAAAAUGUAUACUAAUAUUCAUCUCAAAAAUAUCAAAAUAAAUAAGUUUAAAAGUGCCAACGCUUAUAAGUAUCGUCAAGUUUUGAUAUUUUUUAAAAAUGUCAACAAGAUUUGGCAUAGUGGUUCACUUUUCGACGCUUUCUACUAGCGUUAAUAGGUGAGAGACGGGAUUCUCCUAUUUUUUUGUAAUGCUAUAAAUAUUAAAUACAUACUAUGGGUAGUAAGAGAAAUUUGAUUAGUUUGCAAAAUCGAAGAUAGAUAUUACUACUAUUAUUUUUUACAUUUGGCUAUUCAGAUGGGAUCGAAUUUAAUUCAAAAUAUUUGAAGGGAUGAACUUUUCCAUGUUGGGAGAAUUUUUCUAUAUUGUGAUGAACUUUUCUAUGUUGCAAGGGACUUUCCUAUACUACUUAUAGGUUGUGAGUUGGAUGCCAAGGAAGAGUUAGAAAUAGGAGUUGUCUUGAGUGGGUAUAUUGUCUAUGAGAGAUAUUUGCUUGUGUAAAAUGAUGCUUAGAGGCAGAAUCUUUUUUUAUUCUUUUCAAGAAGAUGAUUGUAACUAUUUUGUGAUGAUGCUUAAGAUGAUCCUUGAGGAUUAGGGUCCGAUCCCAUUUGCUCACGAGGUACACAUAUAUUUUUCUAUAGAACCAUUUGUAAUCCAUGGUUUAUCUUGUUUUAAGGGAAGCUAUGCUUUCAAUUUGAAUUGCUAACUAUAUUUUUUGUUGAAAGUCAAGUAUUUUCUUCCAAAAGGCUAUGAAAGUAAUCAAACAAUGUAAACCUAAUGCCUAACAAGAUUAAAGAUUCAAGUGGAGCAGACUUAGGAUUUAUUAAGUUUCGCUUCCACAUUUUUAUUAUCAUUAGGUUUGUAUCACAUGAUUUGGUUAAAUAGAUAGUUUUUUGAGUUUCUUGUUUUGUCACUAGCCAAGGUCAAUCCCGUAUUAGAGGUUGCACUUGAUCUUUCUUAUACAUUAUAUAUAGGACUAGCGAAAAUUAAUCUCAUGUGGAUUAAGGGGCAGGUUUCAUGGACCGUUCCUCACCAAGCAUUCCUAUUUAGGGCUACUCAAGGGGAUAGCAUUCAUAAAUAUCAUAUUUGGAGUUAUUUCAUAGUUUGACAUGCUUUUUAUAACUAAUGAUCAACCUAAUGUCAACAUUCUACUUUUUUCAUCAGGAUGUGAUGAAAGAAAUUUAUAUUUGAUAGAUCUCUCGAAUUCAUUACUGAGGGGGUGCUUGGUCGGGAAGAGUGUGGGUCAAGAAUCGAAAUGAAAAUGGAUGACUCCCAUUCCAACCAUUUAGUUGGGAAGAGUCCUAUUCCGAUUUCGAUUUCGAGAUGGAAUGGGAAUGGCCCAAUCUACAUAGAACUCAAUCCCUACUCCUCUGUAUGGAUUCAAAUUUUCAUUCCAAUUUCAAUUCUGAUCACGAACCAAGCACUUUAGAAGAUUUGGCUAUUAUGAUUCUGAUUUCAAGCCAUGUCAAUUUUCGUUCCGAUUUUGAUUACGUUUGCGAACCAAGCACCCUUUGAAAGUAAAAUAUCUAUAUUGUAGAUGAGAUACCUAGGUGUAAGCAGGAUUUGAAUCCAACUCAUUCGGUACCAUAGCCCAGUGGUUUUGCCAGCUGAAUUAGUUAGCACCCACACGCAGAAUUUUAAUUGUUGUACUUUAUUAAUUGCAACAUGUGAAGCUAAUGUGAUUAAAAUACCAUAUUUUGCUGAUGAUAAUUUUAUAAUCUUGAGCAUUUGCUAUUUUACAUUGUGCAUAGCAUACAAAUGUCAAAUGUGAUGGAUCAUUUCACUUUACUAUUAAUACCUCUCUACUGCCCCAUAGAAAACCUGACAUCCUAAACUAUUAUGGUAUUGCAAUUGUUUUUAGCAAUUGAGCAUUCUAGUGGUUGAACUGAAUUAGCAAUGUUGCUAGAAUAAAAUGUUAUAUGCAUUAUCAGAAAUAUUUCUUUAACUUUUUCCUCUACCCCUGGUACCAAACUACCUAUUGCCUGCAGAAGAGUAAUAUAUCUGAACUUUUAGCUGAAUCCUUCUAAUCAGGCUCACCAAAUGUGUAUCUUCUUUCCUGCAAACUGCUUGUACAAUGUCAUAUCUAAACCAAAGCAACAUUUUUGGGUGUCGCAGUAUUACACUCUUCCGGGAGUACGCACAAAAUUCAGGUCCAUACCAGAAGUCCAAAGAUAUCUCGAGAAAAAACCCGUUAGGAUUUGGAGGAAGGUAAGGUUCAACAUUUUUAAUGCUAUAACGUGUUCAGAAUUUUUCUAAUAUCUUUUUGAUGACCCAUGUGAGCUCCCGUUAUUGCUAUCAUUUACUCGUAAAUUCUCAGAAUUCUGGAACUCGGCCUUCCCAACCUGCUGAAGCCGGAAGUUCCUCUAACCCGUCGGACCCACAACCAGCUGCAGAAUCUUGUCCAGAGGAACCUAAAGAACAAACUAAAGGUAUUCCCAAAAAUUCUGGAUUUAUAACAUCUAAUUUUCAUGCUUGUCUUUAUGCUUACUUGCCUGACUUGAUUCAGAUAUGAAGUUUUUUCCUCAUUUUUGGCUUCUAUUUUGAUUGUUCGACAACUUAGACAUGCAUUAUCAGUUUACCCCAAAAUAUAUUAUAUGAACAAAAGCAAGUGAAUAUAUUAUUGGUUCGUACAUUUAGACUGCAUGUAUUAUAUGAACGCUUGCUAUAUAAUUGCUCCUUAUUUGUUGAUGAGUGAUGUUCCUCCUUUGUUGGUUCAUGCGGGCGGUAAAGAGCACUAUAGUUUUCUGCUUUAAAAUAUCUGCACCUAUUCAGCUUUUUAGUGAUCUUCUUUGUUUUUUGUGUGUCUGUCCUUGAAUAGAUGAGGAACGAGCAGAACGACCUAAGAGUAGACCAAAGUUAUGCGUGCAACGGAACUUGUUCAAGCGUUCUCGUAGGCACAAGCACAAGAAGCUCUGAGGCAACAGAAGAGGGGGAUACUCUUUUUUUUUUUCGUUUCAGUUUUGCCUUGUAAAUAAUUCUCUUAUUGCUGUCCUAUGAGCAUUUUUUCCCUCUGCAGUGCUUUGGUGCCUGCCUAAACCUUUGAUGUAUAGCCUUACCAUCUCAAAAUCCAAUAAUGUGCAUACCAGUACUUACAAAGAUCUGGUGUUUUCAAGAAUCUUUAGAUGCUGUAUGAGAUCGUACAAAGUGGAGAAGAAUUUAAUAAUUUGUGUGAAGCAUGGGACUAAUAUUUCUUCAUUAUAUUGUAUGGUUGUGACAGAAUCUACAAAUUCUUUUUACAAUACUAUCAUAUGAUAGUGAUAAUUAAUCAUGUAAUUCUUUGAAUCUCUGAAUUUUUUCCAUGAUAUACACAGCAAUAUAGGAGGUAUCUUGGACGAGAAUUGCUGCUAAUGGAUGACAAUUAAGCUGCACUUUUUUGGAUUGUUCGUCUUCAAAGGAUACUGACUUUGUUGAUUGUCAAUGAAUUAGGGCAUAUUUUGGAAUAGUGACUGAUAGGUUGAGCCUACUACAUUUUAACAAUAUGCUAGAAAGCGCUGAAAAUUUUCUUGCAAUAUUAGAUGCCAAAGUCUGUAAUUUUCUUUGUGUUAUGGUCAACCAUAAGACCUUCCAUCUCUUGAAUUUAGACUGAUAGGUUGCGAGUGGGUUGGAUAGACCAAUUUUUGAUAUGGAAUCUAUGCAACAUUAAUCUAGUCUAGCCCAAACUGAAAUUAUUUAGAUUAGGCUUGGAUUCAGAGAUAUGACCUGCUUUGAAUAUAAAUUGGAUUUGGAUUGCUAAACUUUUGCAAUUGAAACCUGAACCGACCCAAACCAUUGUGAAACUAGUACAAUAUAUACUUUAAAUUCCUCCUUGAUUGUAAGAAAUUGGUUUCCUUUUGUCAUAUGGUUAGCCAAUAAUAUAUGUUGUUACUUUUAACCAUAUGUUUUUUUUCAAUCAAUCUUCCAUUGAACGUUCCUUUUGUUUAGUUACAGCUCGGCUUUAUGAAAUGGUAUAGGCGUACAUAUAAUACACAUCAACUAAAACUAGAAGUAUGCAUGAUUUCCCUUAUUUUGUCAUUUUCAACCAAUUUUAGGCUUUAAAUGAAGGGGAAAAAAAAAAGGAAUGGAGGAAGCAGGUGUCUAUACCAAAUCCUACCUUAGAUUAGGACUUUAGAAAAAGGAAAACUAGUAGCUCCAAAUGAUUUUCCUCACCUUCCCCCUUCCUCUUCUUGUUCUGGCAUUUGACUUCUCCACUCUUUCUGGUUACCGAAGGGUUUAGAAUCAACAUGAAUCGAGUGGAAUCAAGAUUGAACCUACAAACUAACUUUGUUCUGCACAAAUUCAAUAUGGUAUCAUCCAGAGUGAACUAUUCGGGUCAACCAUGCAAACCAUGAUUUUAAUAUAUUUUUUCAUUAUUUUUUUAAAAUUUUAAUAUUUUCUGCUACAUUAAAUUAUAUUUCAGUUUUCAAUGGCUAUCAAUCUUAUAACAACUAAUGACUAUACAUAAAAUAGAAAUAAGAAAGGUGAAUAAUAUACUUCACGAAUGAUAACUAAACAAAAUGUGAAUUAGCCCAAUGUUUAAAUACUAGUCAGAGCAAGGGUUGAAAAUUUAAUUUUCAAUUGAGUGAGAAUGGGCUUAUCUUUAAAUUUAAAAUUUGUAAUACUCCAAAAUUUAUAUAAAGCAGGUUACAUGCCGCAUAGAUGUUGCCAUGAACGAUAGGUGGAGAUAUCGUCCGAUACAAUCAAAAAUUUACUGGAGAAGCACAUGGAUCACUACAUUUAAUUUUUUUGAUAUAUAUGGUUAACAGAGAUAACACUCCAACUUCUUAAACAAAAAGGAGAUAUAAUCGGAAUUUGGUUAGUAUCACUAAGGAUGUAUUUGGUUAUAUUUUUUGAUUUUUAUUUUUUAAAAAAUAUUUUUUAUUAUUAUUAUUUUUUUAUUACUGAGUAAAAUAAAAAAAAAAAGUAAAAAGUAUGUUUGGUAACUACGUUGCUAUAAAGCAAAAAACAACGAUUNNNNNNNNNNNNNNNNNNNNAAAAUAUAUUUUUUUAAUAGCUAACCGAACGCAUUCUAAGAGUGCAUUUGGUUACACUUUUUGAUUUUUGAUUUUAAUUUUAAAAAUAUUUUUAUUUUUUGAUUUUUAUUAUUUAGUAAAAUAAAAAAUAAAAAAUAUGUUUGGUAGUUACAUGGCUAUAAAGCAAAAAACAAUAUUUGGGGAUGGCGACGAGGGAGAAGGAUUCGAAAAGUAAAAAAGAAGGGGAUGGAGAGGUGAAGAGAUCGACGAGGAAGAAAUGUUUGGAUUUUUUACUUUUUAAUUUGACAUUUUAGACGUGAGAAAGCAAAAAAAAAUAAAAAAUAAGUUUUAAAAAGAAAAAAAUUUAUUUUAUAUAUAAAAUAAUUAUUUUGAUUAUUUUGAUUUUGAUUUUUUACUUUUCAUAGUAUUAUUAAACAUUAUUUUUAAUUUUAUUUUUAAAAUUAAAAAUAAAAAAUAUUUUUUAAUGACCAAUCAAACGCACCCUAAAUUAAUUUAUUAGAAACAGAGACCUUGUGGCAAUCACUGGUCUCUUGUUGGCCAUCUUGAAUCCAAAAGCGCAAAUUUUUUUUUUGCACUAAUGAAGCAUAUACCUCAGUAAUUAAAACAUCUGGCACCCCACAAUUCUCAAACAGAACAAGAUAUACUCCAGGUGUGGUCCAUAACCAUGACCAUCUCACUGCAUUAAAUUUACCAACAAAAAACCGUGACAGUCACUGCCGUCGAUUGACCAUCUUUAAUCCAAUGGUUCAAAAAUUUUUUCACGCAUCUCGAAGUCUCAUUACAUGGUUGACAUGUUAAACUGACUAUAUACACCACAGAUUAUAAUAUCCAAAGCCCGAAGCACCUGAACAUGCCAUUUUGUUGGCUCAAAUGCUGGUUUUCUUAUUAGUUGUCAUAAAAGCUUAAUAAAAGUAGAAAACCAACCAUGGGAAUAACAACCAAACGAGUCUAAACAGUCAAAACUAUGAAACAAAUACAGCAUAAGUGUACCUAUCAUACACAACAGGAGUAACGACUAAACAAAAUAUGAACAAGCCCCAUUGUCAAAUAUUGGUCUAAACAAGGUGAAAAAUUAAAUUUUAAAAUGAGCGAGAGGGUGAAUAUCUUUAAAUUAAAAAUUUGUAAGGACCAAUACUCCUAAAUUUAGAUAAAGUAGAUUUCCAUGUAGACUGCCAUGCAUUUGGUGUUGCCAUAAAUAAUAGAUUAGAAAUAUGGUCCAAAAAGUAAAGAUAAGCAUAUAUAUAUAUAUAUAUAUAUAUAUAUAUAUAUAUAUAUAUNNNNNNNNNNNNNNNNNNNNAAAAGUAAAUAAUAGACAUAUAUAUAUAUAUAUAUAUAUAUAUAUAUAUAUAACAUUUCUAGAAGAUAGAGAUACACUUCAAAAUUAUCAAAUAUAGAGAAACAGACUAAAUUUGGUUAAUAAUCACUACCAUCUCACUAUAUUAAUUUAUUAGUGCUAGAAACCAUGUGACAGUUGUCUCUUGUUGGCCAUGUUGAAUCUAAAAGCCUAAUUUUUUCAUAUAUAUCUCACCACAUUAAAUCCUCUUGUCAUGUAUGGUAAGUAGAGAUAUAUUCCAAAAUUUGUAGACAAAACAAGGGACAGUCCAAAUUUGACUAAAUAACCAUUGCCAUCUUGAAGCAAAUAAUCCAAAAUCUUAUAGAACUUCUUGAAGUCUCCAUACACACUUUCACAUAUCAACCUUACUCCAACCAAUCGAUCAAUGAUUGUCUACAAAGCCUAAAGCAUGUGAACAUGCCGUUUUGAUGGGUAUAAUGGCAAGUUUGAUUUAUUAGUUGCAAUAAAAUUUUAAUAGGUAAUCAGCCAAAACAUAACCUAAAAUUUAUAUAAUAUUUAGAAAGCAUAGAAGAGUCAUGACUCAGAAAGAAAAAUGGCACAAGUGUAGAUAAAAUAUAUUAAAAAUAAUAACCAAAGUAAAUAUGAAUUGGACCAACAAGUAAAUGAUCAUUGAAGCAAAGGCACUGAAAAUUAUAAACUAGUGUGACGGGCUUAUAUUAAUUUAAAGAAGAGUAGAGGGGUAAUGCUCCAUAAUUUACAUAAAGUAGAUUUUCAUGUAGAGGGACCCUAAGAUGUUGCAAUAAAUGAUAGAAAAAGAUAUGGUCCAAAAGUUAAAUGUCCCAUCCAAAUUUACUAGUCAAGCAUAUUAUCUCACUCCAUAUAAAUCUUUUAACCUAUAUAGUAGGUGGAGAUACAGUCCAGAAUUGUUAAACCGUAAAAGUAAUUUGUCCAAAUUUGAGUAGUAAGUACUGCCAUCUUGAUACAUUAAUUUAUUAUUGAUAGGAACCUCCUGAUAGUCAUCAUCUCAUGUUGGCCAUGUUGAAUCCAAAAGUCUAGCACUAGUAAUGUGUAUAUCUCACCACGUUUAGAACAUCUUGUCAUGUAUGGCAAGUAGAGAUACAUUCAAAGUUCUCAAACAGAAUCUAUAAAAUCCAAAACUGCUUGAUAAACAUCUCUACCUUUCUACAUUAACUAUCAGCAAAAACCCCAUCGUAAUCGUUGCUUACUUACUGGCCAUCUGGAAUUCAAUGAUCCAAAAUCUCACUCGCCACUUAGACAUAUUAAAUUGGCAGAUUUAUUUUAUUACAUGCCAUAAAUUUUAAAAUAAAUAAAGAACUAAUCCACGUAGCCAAAAAUUUUAUAGAGCAAUUCUUUGUGCACCGCAUACGGUGAUUGGAUCGUAUGCAGGAAAGAAAUGGUAUGAGACGGAAUAAAAGAAAGGAGAGUUGCGUGCGCACCAAUCACCGCAUGCGAUGCAGAAUGAGCUGCACCGCAUGCGGUGUAAUAAGAGUUUUACAAAUUUUAUAACAUGCAAUAUGCACGAAACUAUCANNNNNNNNNNNNNNNNNNNNNNNNNNNNNNNNNNNNNNNNNNNNNNNNNNNNNNAUAUAUAUAGCAUGCAUCACGAAUGAUAACUAAAUAAAAUAUGAGUAAAUAUUGGAGUUUAGAGCUAGUUGAAGGAGGAUUGGAAAUUAAUCUUUAAAAUUAAGAUUUAUCUGUAAAUUAAAAAUUUGUAGGGGGUAAUAUUCUAAAAUUUAUGUAAACAAAUAUCCACAUGCCUUGCAUACCGUCCCAUAGGUGUUGGAAUAAAUGUAUCACAUUACAUUUAAAUCUUUUGCCGUGGGUGGUAGGUAGUGAUGUGUCCACGUCAAACAGAUCAUCGGAGUCAACCGCUGUUCUACCCCACGAAGUAUUGUCCGCUUUGACUAGGUCCGAAUGGAGAGCGUAUCCCGUGGUCCCCACCAGGGGUUGUCUCUGGGGCCCCUGAUCGGGCCCAUCGGGGGAUGUGUCCCCCGGCCCAGCGUCACGCAGACGGCCUCACGAUUUUAUCUUUUCACCCUCUCGCGGGGGAAAAGGUGCCUCGUGAGGGAAGGACGUGCUCGUAUCCCUCUUAAGCACAUGACACUUCAGAGUUUGCCCGAUGUGGAACUUUUAAGGGAGGUCCCCCCGUGGCCUGCCCACAACAUAACCCCCCAUUCUGGAGGGGCAUGUACUAUGGAACAGGGGACGGGUGGCCACUAAUGUGUCCACAUGUCAAGCAGGUCGUUAGAGUCAACCGCCGCUCCGCCCCACGAAGUAUUGCCCACUUUGACUAGGUUCGGAUGGGGAGCGUGCCCCGUAGUCCCCAUCGGGGGUUGUCCCUGGAGCCCCUGAUCGGGUCCCACCGGGGGAUGUGCCCCCCGGCCCAGCGUCAAGCAGAUGGCCUCACGAUUUUGUCCUUUCGUCCCCUCACGGGAGAAAAGGCACCUCGUGAGGGAAGGACGUGCUCGUAUCCCUUUUAAGCACAUGACACUUCAGAGUUUGCCCGAUGUGAGACUUUUAAGGGAGGUCCCCCCGCGGCCUGCCCACAACAUACUGAUGUGUUCACGUGUCAAGCAGGUCGUCAGAGUCAACCGCCGCUCCGCCCCACGAAGUAUUACCCGCUCUAGCUAGGUCCGGACGGGGGACGGGGAGUGUGCCCCGUGGUCCCCACCGGGGGUUGUCCCUGGGGUUCCUGAUCGGGUCCUACCGGGGGAUGCACCCCCCGGCCUAGCGUUACUCAGACGGCCUCAUGGUUUUGUCCUUUCGUCCCCUCGCAGGGGAAAAGGCGCCUCAUGAGGGAAGGAUGUGCUCGUAUCCCUCUUAAGUACAUGACACUUCAGAGUUUGCCCGAUGUGGGACUUUUAAGGGAGGUCCCCCGCAGCCUGCCCACAACAUAGCCCCCCACUCUGGAGGGGCAUGUGCUGUGGAAUAGGGGACGGGUGGCCCCUAUCUGGCGCGCCACUGAUGUGUUCAUGUGUCAAAUAGGUCGUCGGAGUCGACCACCGCUCCACCCCACGAAGUAUUGCCCGCUCUGGCUAGGUCCGGACGGGGAGCGUGCCCCGUGGUCCCCACCGGGGGUUGUCCUUGAAGCCCCUGAUCGGGCUCCAUCAGAGGAUGUGCCCCCCAGUCCAACGUCACGCAGAUGGCCUCACGAUUUUGUCCUUUCGCCACCUCACGGAGAAAAAAGUAUCUCAUGAGAAAAGGACGUGCUCAUAUCCUUCUUAAGCAUAUGAUACUUUAGAGUUUGUCCGAUGUGAAAUUUUUAAAGAAGGUUUCUCUGCGGUCUGUCCACGACAGGUAGCUAGGGAUAUGCUUCAAAAUUUUUAGAAAAAAAAAGAUCCAUUCCAAAUUUGCCCAUUAAUGAUCGCCAUCUUACGACAGCAAUUUCCUACCAAAUGAAACCUCCUCCAAUCGGCUACCACUUGCUACCAACGGGCCAAAAUUCUCCCGCGAUCUUGAAAUCUUCCAAAACACUAAACUAACGCGGGUCACAAAAUAACCACAACCAAUCGGCCAAACGUACGGUGAUGCCAGAUGCCAGAUUAAUGCCUAACAAUGGAUGUUUCUCUUUAGUUACCAUAAAAUCUCGAUGUUUUAAUAUAAAAACAAGAGUGGCAAAGAGAAGAAGAUCCUUGAGCCCCACUUGCCGCGAAAAACCCUCGUCGCCGCCUACUGUAGGUGCCACCAUCACCAGCCAUUCUCCUUCACCUCAUCACCAUCACACACACACACACCCACCCAUUUCGGCCGCCUCGCAGCCUCCGUCUAAGAGUCCAAAGCGGGACACAUUGGACUUCCCUUCUCGCGCGAAUAUUCCAUAUUCUCUCCGGCCACCUUGGGGGAAUCCCCUCCGACGCUGAGCUCGAGCCCUCAAGCGAACUCUACCUUGCCGAAGCCAAGGCCCUCUUGGACGCUUUGCCGCGAGGCGGUGAGUUGGUGCUCCUGGCCGCGGCGGUGAGGAACCCCGCCGCGAAUACACCAACGGCCGGGGACGCCACCCCAAACGCGCCAGCAACAGGGGAUGCCGCCACAAACGCACCAACGACAGGGGGACGCCGCCGUGAACGUGACAGCGAUGGGAGAUGCUGCCAUGAACGUGCCGGCGGAGGGCGUCGCUGCGAAUGUGCCGGUGGAGGGACCGCGACAGCGGGUGGUGCGACGGCAGCGCCGACGAGAGCAGUGUAAUCUGCCAACGGGCCCAACGACAACCGCUAGGGAGCGGAAAUCCGGCAAAAGCAGGGGGAACAAAGAUAAAAUUUGUUCCUUUCACUAUUAGAUUUCUUUCUUCUCCUGCUCUCUAUUCUCGUGUAUGUUUUAAUUAGAUUUUAGCUGAAACACAGAGCAUAUCAACGGUAGAUUCUGUUCUGUUAAUGAAUCUAAGACUAUAUCACUGCCAUUUCUCCUUACUUGCCUGCAUGCUUGCAUUUACAUAGAACAAUGUAGAACGUGAGGGAUUUGCUUUUUCUGACAUAAAGCCUACAGGCACCCUCAGAUAAGCUUACAAUGACUUCAAAAGUAAUAUCACUGGAGAUGGAUAAUCUCCGUGGAGCAGGAUUUUGUUUUCCAAGGGAGCUCCGUUUUGUUUUCCAGCUUUUUCACAAAAUUGUCUUCAUAUACCAUACUAUUUAACGUCUAGGGGAAGAUCAUCUACAUGCAGUAGGGAAUGAUCUAGCUUGCAAGGGACUCUUGCGGCAGCCUCAAAAAUCAUAUGAUGUUUUGCAAUAACAAACAAAGCUUCAUUAAGCAUGCAUACACCACAAGGAAAACCUGAAUCAAACAAGAUUUGUCUAUAGAAAUAGUGUACUUCAAAAUUAUUGAGACAAAGGGCAAGAUAAAGCAUGAUCAUCUCCUCUGUCCGCUGACAAACUAGAACAGAAUACUUCAUCAUACUAACUGGAUGCCACCACUUAAAAUUACAACAAUACAUGGAUCAACUAGCGCUCAGUUCUAUAAAGAAGAGAGAACAAUCAUACAUGACUAGAAGGUCGGAUCAAGCGACCUCAAAACUUGCCUUCCUACUACCAUUCACCUCGGUCACCGACCAUUCAUCUCAGUCCCCGACCAUUGACGACAACCCAUCUGCUCAAGAAACUUGGUCAGCCGCAUGUGCUUCGCCGCCCACUGCUCCGCCAACUUCUGUUCCUUAACUUCAGCAUCCCUCCUCAAUCCUAAGAUCUGCUCCUUGUACUCUGCUUCAAUCCUCUCCAGUGCCCGCUGCUGCUCCUCCCGGAGUGCCCUCACCUUAGCCUCGAUCUCCUCCAUCUUCUCCCUCCUCUUGCAAGCCUUCUCCGACUCCAGCUGCAGCUCGACCCUCUUCAGCCUCCAUGCUGCUUCCUUCUUGUGCGCCACCCAAGCUCGAUGCCCUUCUUCUAACUCUCUGCAACACUCUACCAGCUCUGAGACUGUCUGACCAUCCACUGAAGGAACUCCUGAUACCAUGUUCUGCUGCGAACUAGCCAAGCCCAAGCUAUUCUCCGCUCCUCGUUCUGUUUGAAGCCAGGGAAUUGAUGCAGGAGGCACGGUGGAAGGAGAAAGAGUUAGAGUCACAGAAGGCGAGGAUGGUCUGUGGGAGCUAUUGGAGUUUGAAAGCCAUGGAGGAAGUAGUGGUGUAGCCAUGAGCAAUGGGGUGAUCCGGUGCUCUUUUACCAGCUUCUCUGCAAAGUUCUCGAGAAUGCGAUCGUAUUUUCCCUGCUCGAAGGAGCUCAAGACAGGUUUGCUGCUCUCUCUUUGCUCUCUCUGCUGCUUCUCCUUGAAGACUUCCCACCACUUGCCAAGCCUCUUGGCGGUGCGGCCCGGGACCUCCGCGGCGAUCUUCUUCCACUUGUUACCGUGCUUGGCCUGGAGCCUGAUCACAAGGCGCUGCUCCUCCUCAGUAAGAGAGCCCUUCUUGAUCCCUGGCUUAAGGUAGUUCUUCCACCUCUCCAAGCAGGAUUUGGCAUCCCUGUGAAGGGGCACGUUCAUCCGCUGGGACACAAGGUUCCACUCCCGGGGUCCAUACUGCUUCACGUAUGCGCGCAAGAUUGCGUCCUCUUCAGCUCUCCAGCGCUGCCUUUCCUUCAUUUGCAGUGGCCUCCGCCCAUCCCCUCGGAUUCCUCAUAACGUAUCUGAAACGAAGGCAGCCAGAGUAUCUUGACCUGAUAACAGCAGCUGCUGCAAGAAUCCUACUGGUUCAACAAAGAGUUUCAUAGCAAUAAAUUAUGAAAAUAAUUAACCAUGAAAUGCUACAAGAGGCUAGCGAAAAGAUUAAUGGGAGUUUAGGCCCAAUCAAUGAGGAAUAUUCUAUUGUUCUGAGGCACUAGCGAAGCAGGCGCUAGAAUUUGGCUGAAAAGGAUCGAACAGAGUUAUAUGAAUGCUUUGAACAUUCAACCAUUACCGAUAGACUCCAAAUCUACUGCACAUCCAUCAUUCAAAGAAAAAAUCUGAAGGACAGAUUUCAGACAAGCAGCGAACUCUGAUAACAAUGACAGAUAAACCACAGAAGCACAUGAUCAUUAAAUAAGCCAAGGUGGCCAGCAUCAUACAAACAGUAUUCAAGACUAAUCUAUUGAAAAUGAAACGUAUAUCAACAUCACAGAAUAGUGUUGAAUAGUUAUCUAGUGAACGAAAUCCUUAUGUAAGGCAUUAACAUGGCUUAUUUUCUGUUCAAAAAAAGGCAAACCGGCAAAGAUUGAGAUGGACAGAUACAUGCAUCUAGAAAAGGAAAGAUGACCUAAAACAAGUAGGAAAAGAAUCUAGAGCGGAGAUGGGCUGCUAGAUCGACUGUAAUCACCAAUACCUUCAUCUGGCGUGCUACGUGGUUGUGUUUAUUGACCGAAUAUGGAAACGGGGAUGUAUUAAAAUUUGCUUGGCAAGAAGCAGCGGCUGUACAAGGAAAUGAUUUUCAGAGGAAAUGGGUAAACAUCACCAAAGAGACAGACAGACAGACAUAUACAUGUAGGUAUGUAUAUGUAUAGGGUGGCGUGCGAGAGAGAGAGAGAGAGAGCUUUUGCGUAAAAAAUCGAGGCGGCAGCGCAAAACACUCAGAUGCUGUGGUAUUAAUCUUUACUUCUUUUUUUUCCCUUCGCAUUACCUAUUAUAUCAGUGAUCUAGAGCCAAGAUUUGCAAGAUUUUAUAUCAUCGUCAUCGGAUUAAGCUAAACUUAACAACACAGAGCAUCUCAUACGAAGAAUUAAAGUAAAUCCGGAUCUACAGGUCCACUAGGUCCAUCCUGCAACCAUUAGUUUCUCGAUUAAAUAACGAGCAUACCAGUUCUGAAAUAAAGCCAUAAGUGAUCGUCCGUGGACCACGUCAAAAAAAUAAAAAUGAAAAAAACACGGAUCUGCAGUAGAUCCAAGAGAUUCGGAAGCAAAUUUAGUUUGACAGGAAACAUUAUUAUUGUAAAGUAAAUUGUCGUGAUGGAAUGAGCCUUGAGAAGCUCAAAGGAGGUCUGAAACCAUACAAAAAUGUUACUUUUACGAAGACAUGAAACCAUUUCGGCCCAAGGCACUAUAUUUUUCCACUAUCCUGAGCUUAAUCUUUUCAAUCUCCUGAAAAGAUGUGAAUUGCUGCAGUUAAAUUAGUCCAGAUCGUACCCUAACUAAUAUUAUAUCAAAGUACUAAGUAAAAGACCAGAGAAACAGAGCAGCUCGACCUACUAUGUUCCCUUGCUUCCCCACAGUUAACUAAACAUAUGUAAACUUUAAUUUGCAAAGGUUCACAAAUAAGUGAUAGAUAACCACAACUUAAACUGAAAAAAAAAAAAGAGACAGAAAGGUAAAGAGAUCUCUUACAGCUCAAAAAAAUGCUAGCGCCGUCUUCUUUGAAAUCCAGAGACCCACAAGAAGCAAAGGCUCAAGAGUAACGAGGAGAGAUGAGAAGCUUAGAGAGAUGAUGAGAGGGAAUAGCAGAAACGAGAGAGAGAGGGGGGGGAGGAGAAUGGGAGUAGAUGAGAUGGUGGGAUGUAAAUAGCGAGGGCCCUGACAGGAGCGUAAAAGAAGGGCACGCGCAGGGAAAAGACGACGGGUCGCGGGGGCGAAAGGGGAGUGCAAGAUGGGGCUCAGUCACUUGGAAGAAAGAGAAGAGUUUUUGCGGUCGGUCGGUGGUGAUCUCAGAGGGGAAUGUGCUGGCGUCAUCCUCGGGAGCACGACGCCGCUGCAGAGAAACCGGCGGUUCCAGCGACGCACCGUGAGCCCCACCCCUUUGCCAUCGAGAACGAGGGAAAAAAAAAAAAGAAAGAGAGAGAGAGAGAAAGAAAGGAAAGAAUAAGGAAAGAAAGACAUGUUGCUGCCAAUUUUCUUAUCAUCUGAUCAUCAGGAAUGAAUAUUUAUAAAAUAAAAUUCGUAUUGGUUGAAAUUAUCUUCGAGCUCAGCGAAUAAAAAUUGGUUCAUUCAAAUUUAUUAUCUUAUUUUUUUUUUAUAAAAUAGAUCAUCGUAACUAUCGGAUAUGAUUUCACAUUUAAUAGUGUAGGAUCAUAGGACGGUAAUUUUGUAGUGCAUAAUUAACUUCUAUAAAUUAUGCUACGAUAUUAGUGAAGUAACCGUUUAUGACGGUUAUGAUAUAUUUGAAUGAAUCGAUCGGUCGUAUGUCGGAAGUCGAUUAUUGGUUAGUAAUAUUGAAAUAUCGAUGAUUAAAAUAAUUUAUUAUCUAUAAAAUUUGAAUAUUGAUUGAAAAUAAUAUCGAUCUGUUAAAUUGAUAAUUAAUUUUAGAAUUAUUUUUAUUUAAUGGAUCAUUUUUGUUUAAUAGAUCUGAGACAGAUGCCGGGCAAAUUACAUUGGAGAUUGGUUUAUAUACGGAGGUCAGUGGUUUUAUCUCAAAUAAAGCCUUUCGUUAGGUCUUUUCAUGAUACUCGACAGAGAGAAAGAUCGAGAGCUGGGAAAAGCUCACCAGCCACCAUUCCUUUGAUGACGUGUCCCAUUGCGGUCGCACAUAAGGUCCAUUAUUGCAACAAAUUUGAUGAUAUCGCGUUAUCACGUCGAGCUGAUUGCUGUCCGCGAGAAGACAGCUGAUGCUUCUACAUUGUUACCUAAAACGGAGCGGAUAGAGGAUAACGGUAAAGAUAUUUUGACAUCUUCACAUGGUAACUUUAACGGCCUUCCAACGCGGAGAGGGGGGACAAGGAAAGAGAGGUAAGGGUACCGGAGGGGCGAGGACCCCGGGAAUCGUGUUCGCGCACUACCGUGCUGGCAAUCAAUCGGGUUCGGGUUUCGUCCUUCGCGCGAAGGAAUGUUCUUUGCAAUAUCAACGACAGGGCGAUUGGCACAGCUCUCAAAGCACUCCAAAUUUUUCUAUCAUCCAUUUGCACAUAUCUUGAAAUAGUUGUUGUGCGAUCCAAUGGUUAAUCUAACGAAAGAAGGUGAAUCAUUCUGGUCUUUCGCGCGAAAGAUACAACCCGAACACCAAUUAAUCAGGAACCAGCACUUGUACGGGGGUUAACAUCUAACUUCCCCUCUUAAUUACCGUUGGGGUCGCUAAUUUCCAAGCCCAGAGAUGCUGAUUGGUCGGCGAGUCCGACGGAUAACCAGCGCAGCAAAAGCCGGUCAAAAAAGCAUAAAAAGCGGUCGGGUCACCGACCUCACUUGGAUCUUAACCUCAGCUCCCACGUACAGGAUCCAGCUCCUUUCUGGGAAACGGACUUUGAAUUACCGCGCUCGGGGGAAGGUAGCGAUCUCCGCCCCGGUACGGACGGGAUCUUCGUCUCUCUCAGCGAGAGCCAUCAUUAGAGAGAGAAAGGAAGGAAAGGGGACUGUAGUCCGCGUUUCGCGGCACAAGGAGACAAGGCGAUGUGGACUUGACCUCCCGGCCACUCCUCUCAAGGUGUCAGCGAGUGGUAACGUCGCUCUCUUUUUUUUCUCCUUUUUUCUUUUUACCCCUCUCGCUGGGGUAGAAGACUGCAAGUACGGCGACGGGUGCCCAUCUGUCCCCUGGUCCCCUCCCGGUCGCGGACGGCUUGCGAUGCUGUCCGAUGACGCGUUCUAUCCUGAUGGGUCUCCAUGAGACCCUGGGCCCUGCCCACUGUUUCACAUGUCAUGGUCUGUGGGCCCCGCGAGUAGAAUCUGGCCGGUUAUAUUGCCCGAUGAGGGAGGGGAAGCCUGAGCAGCGUCCCGGCGUCGCCUUAUCUCGUUGUAUCAUGUCAUCGUAAAAUGCUGCGAAGAAGUCACGUUACUGGGAGGUGGGGAAGGUGUCUGGUUUGAGGUGUUAACUGGUGGUGGCGCGAGCUAUGUAUGGUAGCGUCACGUGAAAACCAUUCGGGCUUCGGAUUGCAGGGUCGUCUCUCUCUCUCUCUCUCUCUCUCUCUGAGGGCAGGUGGAACGAGACAGGUCAGGUUAUGGUCCAUGCUGUGGCUAAAUAUACAGACGUGGGUGGACGGGUCCAGUCUUGUCUGAUUGGGUCGAUCUCAUGGAUAACGCUCUAGAUUCGUAGGCCGGUUUGAAGAUUUUAAAUCGGUAGGUUCUAAUUUGUUCUGACCGACCGUGUCCUCCACAAACGAAUGGUCCCGGGCCGGAUCUUAUUUGAUUGGAGCCAGAACUUCUGAAGCCAUGGUGAAAAUAUUAUGCCCGAUUGAUUCACAUGAUGUUGUUUCUUUCGUUUUCGUUUUCUUUUCCCUGUUGUACAGCUACUUUUUUUGAUUUCUUUGUUUCAUCUUCGAUAAUCAAAUCUAUCUAGAGAAGUUUCAUUUGUUAAAAUUAUCUAGGUUAAAUUUUGAGAAAAUAAGAUCAUUGUGAUUCUAACUGGAACAAAGAUACACCAGUUGGGCUAUAACCCAACUGGUUAUAGCCUAGUCGUUUGACAAUUUCUUGUACCAUUUUACGCACUAAAACCUUUUUUUUUUUUGGGUGGUGAGGUUUGAAGAAAUUAGUAUGUGGACCGGUCCAAAUCUUUGGGCAUGGUACCGUUAGAUGGUCCCCUCACCACAUAGCCAGUUCCAUCCUACGAAAGGGGUUUUAAACUUGUUAUCAUCGCUGCCUGUUUCAGCGUUUCAUAAUUAUAUGGUUAUUUAUCUAGACAUUUAGUCAUCUAUUAAUACGUACGACGAUAAACCCGCGCCCAAAAAGCUCAGACGGUGGCAGUGAUGUACAACUUAUUCGUUGUUCUUGCCCAAACCUCAGAUUGCUUGGUAAACGUACAUGUUUGCGAUUCAAUGGACCAUCAGCGAGGUUUACAUAGAACACCUUUAAAUACUACUUUUUGAAAUGAUUGUGUUUCUUUCAUCUAGUGAUUCCUUGAUUCUAAUGCAUGUAAUUUGUCGGGAUAUGGACAUGACAACCAACUUUCAAAUGUAAAUUUAUAAUAAUUUUUUUAAAAAAAAUACAUUGCGUGGGAGUCCCACCAAAAGUGCCAUAUUUUUAUAUUUUUUUAGCCAAAAAUUAUUAGUAAGGCCCAUCGACGUAGUUUAUUAAAUAAUAAUGCAUUGAGCGAUAAUGUACAUGCUAGUGCAGCUCAAAAUAUAUGCAUGUUUGGUCAUGGAUUCUCAUUUCACCCAUUGUAAAUCUUCAGGUUUGUUGAUCUGUGACUGAUUUAUUAGUCGUACCUCUAAUGCUUCUAGAUUGCUAAUUCUUAAGCUGUAUGGACUAAGAUUGCACUACCAUAGGAUGCAUGUUAAUACCUCUUGCUUGCAAAAAAAAAAAGACAGCCCUCUUCCUGCUUGGUUUAUGAGGAUAUUUGUUUUUCUCUUUUCUUUUUCCCUUUUUAUUGUUGUGAGGAUGAGAGAAUCAUAAAAAUUCAAAGGGCCUAUCUAGAUGAGUGGACCCAAAAUCUCAUAGAAAUCAUAUGUUUGGCCUAAUACAACAGGUCUUAUUUCUCUUACAGGACUCAGGCAGAGCUAGAUCUCUUUCAUGUGACUGUAUGGAUCCAAAUCCAUGUGAUUUCUUUAGGAUACUGGUCCAGACAUCGAAACAGAUCUUAAAAAUGAAAGAUUCCUCGUCUUAAAAUGAGCUCUACUUAGUGUUGUCAUAAUGAGCAAUGCUGCGAAGUUGCCAAGGUAGAAUGUUUCCAGCUAAAGGCAAGAUAUUAUUCACAUAAUAUUUUUACAGUAAAUAAAAUCAUCUCUCGGUUGUUAUCUAUAAUAAUAUUGAGAAAAAUAUUCAGUACACGCGACAGAAUUCCGUGCAUAUUGAUGUAUAUGCAUCCAGGUAGGACUUAGGAGAGUUGGCGGUCAUGUAAAGUAAAAUGCUCUACCUCGAUCCUAACAAGAUUUAUUUGCAAAAUAUUAUACAUUGCCUAUUUUCUGCUAUUAUCCUUGCAGGUCAUUGGUAAAUGGACCAUAGCUAGAGAAGUCUGUGGUAUUGCUACCAUUCAGAGGGAGAGAGACUUUAAGAUUGCAACAUGGUGGUCAAGAAUUUGGUAGCUGGAAAUAGAGGACUUGGAGGGUUGGAGUUUGUAGAAAGAAUAUCUCAAAAAAAAAAAAAAAAGUUUUUUACACUAAUAUAUUAAGAUCUUCUUCAAGAAAGUAUGCUACAAUCAUGAAUCCCUUUUAUCUAAUAUUGUAAACAUCUCUAACGGGUGCAUUUUUUUUUCUAUUUAGAGUUCAUCACUGAUGAUGGACAAAAAAUAUAGAAAGAGUAGGCUAUAUUUCUUCACCAAUAUAUUAAGAUCUUUUUCGAGAACAUUUGUUACAGUCAUAAAUCCCAUUCUAUCCAGUACUGCAAACCUCUCUAACUAGGACUAUUCCUUCUUAUGCUAUUUGGAGUUCAUCACCGAUGAUGAACAAAAGAUAAUGGCAAGAGUAGUCUAUGUAUAAGGUUGCAUUAAGGAAUCCUAUUAUGUCAAGAUAGAGCUUUUAAUUCAUGUUUCUUUGAGAUGAUUUCUCAUCACUAGGACCAAUCCACAAUGACUUGUAUUCAGUCAAUUAUGCCAUUCGAGUGAAAUAGGUAUGCAAAAAUGCAGUUAAUUGGUUCUUAGAAAAGGAAUUUUUCAAUCAUAAUUCUUGAUAUUGGGCGAGUAGUUUAUCACAAUAGUUGGAGAGAACUGCAACUCCGAUGUUAGUUUUGUCUUGUUUGAUAGAGUUAUCAGCAAUGUAUUGACGUAGGCCUUGGCUUUAUUAGAGGAAGGGAGAGAAAAAAAAAUAAAAAUAGAAAAAGAAAUAAAAAACACAGGCUCAAGAGCCAUGCAAAAAAAAAAAAAAAAAAGGCCAAACAGGAUUUAUAAGCCAACUAAAAAAAAAAAAAAAGCCCAAACAGGAUCUAUAAGCCAACUCAAAGUUGGCCGCCAAAGAGCAACAUUAGUAGGCCUAACUCUAGCAUUACACGCAAAACACUGGACCAGUCUUGGGUGGAUCCCGGCCCGCUUGCCCUGGCCUUGGUCCGAAAAGGCGUUCGCCGUGCUCGAGAAACAGCUAGCCGAACCCGCUUCCACUGCGCCCACGAUGUCUUCGCGCCCAUGGGUUCGCGAUCCACCGUAUGUAAUCCGUAUCACCCGAAAAAAAUCGAACGGCGGAGAUCAGAUCUCGGUUCCCAAUCUAAUCCCCUCCCCCAUACCUUCCAAUCCACUCGUCCUCGUAUCUAGCUCCUCCCCCCCUCCGUCCCACGCACAACCCAAAAUCCCACCAUCCAGUCUCCGAGUUACGAAGAAAUAUGGGCAGGAAAUUUUUCAUUGGCGGCAACUGGAAAUGCGUAAGAUUUUCUUUUUUACCAUUAAAUUUCUCUUUUCUUCACUCUCAGAUCUGUUUUUAGAAUUUUAUUCUUGCUGCAAUUUUUUUCAAGUUCGAUUCUUAGAAUUCAUCUGGUUCCAGCACUACUUUUCGCCGGAUCUGCUCGACUUUAGGGUUCCGGGCAUCCGAUUUUAGGGUUUGGAUGUUUGAAAUCGGAUGGCAACAUCCGAUCAACAGAAGCAGUUUUCUUGAACUGUUCCAUUUUACUUGGAUUUGCAUUUUUUCCACGAAUUUUUGAUGUCUGCGAAAUUUAUUCUCUAAUUAUUUGACGGAGUUAUAGAACAUACUUAUAGUUGAUCUUCGUGCAGUUUUUUUUUCCCUAUUUACUUUUUGUGUGUGUGUGUGUGUGUGUUUAGCUGAAAUUAUUGCUUUUAUUCGAGGUACAUGGGGAUAUUUAUAGUUUAAAUAAUUCGAUUCAUCUUAAAAUGCGGUUAUAAUGGGAACUCCGUGCAGAAUGGAACAACCGAAGAAGUUAAGAAGAUUGUCACUACCUUGAAUGAGGCUGAAGUACCCCCAGAGGAUGUCGUCGGUAUGGAUAUGAUCCUUAUGGACUUUGUCUGUAUGUUUUAUUUGAUUUCAUAAUCAUAUUAUUGACGGGAAAUUUUGCGCCUAAUUUCAGAUGUAAAAUAUACGUAAAAAGCGUUCAUUUUGUCGGUUGAGUAUGAGAUAGCAUAAAAUUCAUUAUUAGGUGGAUUUUAUGUGAAUUUUUCUUGGUUAUAACAAUCUCAUGGGCAUCUGGAAGUUAGUAUCGUGACUCCAUUUUAGUGCUGUUGGCCUGUACAAAUUGUUUGCAAUGUCAUGCCACUUGAUUCCCACGAUCCAUUUCCACCAGGCAAGAUGGACAUUUAUCAUUCAUUUGCUAUCUUUUCUUCUCAAACAAUGCUUCAGUUUCUUGAAAAGAAAAGCUGUUCUCUGGCACCUGGAAUCAUAAUGUAUGAAGUUCUAUUGUCUGUAACUUUAUGCGAAAUGCUAUUGUUACAUCUUGGUUGGCUGUGACUUUGUUGAUUGAAAAUAAGACCAGGCAGCAUUCACUCUUAAGGUUAUUGUUGCAGCAGAUUCCCGGCUUGGGCCAAAGUUGCUGUAGUGUGGCGGUGUCCAGCGAAGAUGGUGGUGAUCGGACCUGCAAAACAACUCCCGAGCCAGGGGUGGUUCUGGCAGAGACUCUCCGAUGCUCAAGCCAAAAAUCUGGAACAAAUGGAAAGGAGCAUGCAAGAGAGUUACAUAUCUUGGGGGUCAAUUGGUUGCCUUUAUUUAUAGAGGUGGAAACUAUAAGAGGAAAAAAAUGUGGGAGACCUUUCUGCCUCCAUCGAGCAUACCCUUGAAAUCCUCACUCUAAUUUCCAUGAAUUUGGGGGGCAGCAUUACCUCACCGACAAGUGGCUGGCCACUUCCAUUAAUGGCUCCAGUAGGAGCUCUUGGGAUCUGACAGUUGAUGUGAUCUUAUCCCACAUGCGGCCAGCCACUUGCCUUAAUGGCUAUGAUUUGAGUACUUGAGAUUCGAAGAUUGGACAUGAUCUUUUCUUGUGCGUGGCUAGCUGCUUUCCUUAAUGACUUGAUUUGAAAAGGUCGUAUUGGAGCUCUCUGCCGACCUUGUUGAAUAUGGUAACCAAAGUUGGGAUUGGAGGAAGUGUGGCAUGAAGACCCACCAUACGUACUAUCGAGGAUGAGAAUCGGUGGUAGGUGCCUAGGUCGGAGCCAAUGUGGGGUUGGUGUGUUCCCUGAAUCGGCGUCCAAUGUUCGGAUGUUGUUUUGAGAAUGGGAGCAACAAUCACUGUGGAUCGAUAGUCUAAUGUGUCUAAAGAGGGGUCGGUCACCGAUGUCGGGGUCGGUAGUCCAAGUAUGGAUCGGUGGCCUUUGAACACAAAUGCCAGGGUGGCCGACCUAUGUGUUGGCCACCAACCCCUACAUCAGCCACCGAUCUGUGCAUAGGUUUCUGACUUCUUGCUGGUGUCUGCAUUCAAAGGCCACCAAUCCAUACUUAGGCUGCCGACCCCGGCAUUGGUGGCCAAUCCCUCUUUAGACACCUCAGACUGUUGAUCCACAUGGUGACUGCUGCUCACAUUCUCAAAACAACAUCCGGACAUCGGACGUCGAUUCGGGGAAGGUGCCGACCCCCACAUCGGCUCCAAGCUAGGCACCUACGAUCGGUUCUCAUCCUCGACAGUAGGGCCGAGCAUGGGUCGAGUUCGAUCAGGUUGAGAGAAAAAUUUCAUCCGAUCGAAUGCAAUCAGGUUGAAGAAAAUUCAAUCCGCUAUCAAUCAUUUACCAUGUAUUAACUGUUUGAAAUCGAAGUGAAUAGUUUGUAGCGGGUUCAGAUGGGUUGUGUGGGUUUGGGCUUCAAUGUUGACCCAAUAUUGAUUUUGAGUCCAAAAUUGACACUUAAGCUUAUUUGUUUUUUUUUUUUGUCAAUUUAAUGUAAAAAUGGCCUAAACUUUAUAAGUUACAAAUUUUAGGCUUAUUUUUGAAUCUGUACAGAAUAAAACAGAAAAAGAAAAGAUUUACUCAUCUAAAAGCAACUACAUCUGAAAGCUUUCACUUCAGAAUUAUUUUAAAUUGAUGUGCUUCCAUCAACAAUUCAAUAUUAAUAUUCCCAUGAAUCUAAAUGGGUGAUGAGGUGUUUUUUAGAAUGAAGUAUUAAAGUCUAAAUGACUUCGUCCCAAAAUGAAAAUGAGUUUGUGAAAUACAACAUCGGUCAGGUUCGGUUUCAUACAGCUUAAAAGUGUAGGAACCGAAUCCGAUCGUAUAAUCGAUUUUUUACAAACUCUAAUCCGAUUCCAUCCGAUUUAUGCCUUUCAACUAACCGAAAUCGAUGUUUAUUGGGUCGGAUUGGGUGGGUUUCUUUGGGUUUCAGUUAUUUGCUCAGCCCUACUCGAUAGUAUGUAUGGCGGGUCUUCAUGCCACACUUCCUCCACUCCCAACUUCGGUUACCGUACUUAACAAGGUCAACAGAGAGCUCCCAUACGGCCCUUUCAAAUCAAACUAUUAAGGAAAGCGGCUAGCCACACGCAGAAAAAUAUCAUGUCCAAUCUCCAAAUCCCAUAGUUUUUAAAGAAAACAGCUGGCUGGACAUGGGAUAAGGUCAUAUCGACUGUCAAAUCCCAGGGGCUUUGGCUGGGGCUAUUAAUGGAAGCAGUCGGCCACGUAUUGGGUGAGGUGAUGCCGCCCCUCAAAUUCAUGGAAAUUAGAGCGAGGAUUUCGAGGGUAUGCUCGACGGAAGAAGAAAGGUCUCCAACAGUUUUUCCUUUUAUGGUUCCCACCUCUAUAAAUAGAGGCAAUCAAGGGACCCCCAAGGUAUGUAACUCUCUCGCGUGCUCCUUCCCAUCUGUUUUAGAUUUCUGACUUGAGCGUCGGAGAGUCCCUACAAGAACCACCUCCAGUUCGAGAUUUGUUUUGCAAGUCCAGUCACCGCCAUCUUCGCCGGAUGCCACCACACUCUAGCAACUCCGGCCCAAGCUGGGAAUCUGCCACAACAGUUAUCUUAUUAUAUCUUUAGAUGGAAAUUUUGACCAGUUUAAGGGUAAAUAAUGGGCUACUAUUACACCAUUCGGCCUCUUUAUAUUCUUAUGCAACCAAAAACUAUGUAUUGCAAGAUAUUUUUAGGGAAGCUAAUAUAGGAAGAAAGAGAUUAAGAAGAAAACUUUAUAAGUUUAGGGAACUGACAUCACAUGCAAAGAUUGAUAAAGUUUUCUGUUAGCAGCUUAUAUAUUAUUUGAUUUGAAAUUCCUUCAGACAUGCAUGUGCAUGAAUUGGUGACUAUGCAUGCCGGGCUGCAAAGCAGAAAGUAAAUUGCUACCACAACUAGAAAAGAGGUGGCUGGUGCAUUUGGAUCUUUUAGGGUCUGUUGAGAACUAUCCUGCAGAAUCUAGCAGGAUCGCAUGGGAAUCGAGUUAGGAGUGUUGGGAGGGAGGGAGGGAGCGGGGGAGUAGGAGAGGGAGAGUGUGGGGAGACACACCCUGCUUGCAGCGGGAUUACCAAAAAAAAAAAAAGCCCUUCCUCCCUUUAAGCUCCCUCUUCCUCCAUAUUGUGAUCCAAUCAUGGCCUAUCCCACCGGAUUUAGCCCAGUAGGCACUUACUAAUUUCCCAGGCAUUUUGAAAAUAUUUAAGUUCAGAUUGUUAUGUGGUUGCUUCAUGAUGAUAUUUUAAGGAAAUCUAGGCCAGUCACUCUAGAAGAUGGUUCAAAAUUGCUCAGCCAUUUUCCAUGUUCCUCCAUAGUCACCUAUAUUGGAUUUCAUGUUCUCUGAAAUUCAGAAGCUGUUGUUAAGAGAUGCAUUGGCUUGAUCAUCAUGUUUGAACUAUUAAUGCUGGGAAUGCAAAUGGUGUGUCGGUCUGUCCUACAAGAGGGUCAUGCAUAUCUUAGUUACUUCAUCUGAAAUCUUGCCUACCUGGUCGAAGCUGAUGAAAUGUCAUCCAGCUUUAUCACUCAAACAACUUCUCACUUAUUAUCUGCAAAAAAGCACACAGAGAAAUCAUAAUUGAGGGCAGUUAUAAGUGAUUAAGCAG